AACGAACGCUGGCGGCAUGCCUAACACAUGCAAGUCGAACGAGACCUUCGGGUCUAGUGGCGCACGGGUGCGUAACGCGUGGGAACCUGCCCUUAGGACCGGAAUAACUCCCCGAAAGGGGUGCUAAUACCGGAUAAUGUCUUCGGACCAAAGAUUCAUCGCCUUUGGAUGGGCCCGCGUUGGAUUAGCUAGUUGGUAGGGUAAAAGCCUACCAAGGCGACGAUCCAUAGCUGGUCUGAGAGGAUGAUCAGCCACACUGGGACUGAGACACGGCCCAGACUCCUACGGGAGGCAGCAGUGGGGAAUAUUGGACAAUGGGCGAAAGCCUGAUCCAGCAAUGCCGCGUGAGUGAUGAAGGCCUUAGGGUUGUAAAGCUCUUUUACCCGGGAUGAUAAUGACAGUACCGGGAGAAUAAGCUCCGGCUAACUCCGUG
This 433-nucleotide ribosomal RNA is filed under the name uncultured bacterium. RNAcentral's name for it is "partial 16S ribosomal RNA". It matches the Rfam family "Bacterial small subunit ribosomal RNA", at positions 29 to 507 of the family's 1533-position model. The record is from RNAcentral.